Molecule: RNase P RNA, 365 nt
Filed under: Chloroflexota bacterium
Lineage: Bacteria; Bacillati; Chloroflexota
Description: Chloroflexi bacterium RNase P RNA component class A
Rfam family: Bacterial RNase P class A
About the family: Ribonuclease P (RNase P) is a ubiquitous endoribonuclease, found in archaea, bacteria and eukarya as well as chloroplasts and mitochondria. Its best characterised activity is the generation of mature 5'-ends of tRNAs by cleaving the 5'-leader elements of precursor-tRNAs. Cellular RNase Ps are ribonucleoproteins.
Source: RNAcentral
CGAGGCCGUCGGAUGGCCACGCGCCACGUCGGGGGAAACCCCGUAGACGGCGUGAGGAAAGUCCGAGCUCCGCAGCGCAGGGUGGCGGGUAACACCCGUCCGUCGUGAGACGAGGACCAGUGCCACAGUGACGAUGCCGCCGGCGGCGAGAGCCGACGGCGGAGUGAAACGGGCAAACUCCACCCGGAGCAAGGCCAAAUAGGAGGGCGCAACCCGUGUGGGGCAACCCGCCGGGGGAGAGGUGCGCUGCCCAGCCCUCGGGUCGGCCGCAUGAGCCGUCGGGCGACCGACGGCCCCAGAUGGAUGGCCAUCCGCGGCGGCGCGAGCCGCCGCGACAGAACUCGGCUUACAGACGACCUCGCUGA